Molecule: ribosomal RNA, 253 nt
Filed under: uncultured bacterium
Lineage: Bacteria
Description: partial 16S ribosomal RNA
Rfam family: Bacterial small subunit ribosomal RNA
Source: RNAcentral
GACGAGGGACCCUAGCGUUGUUCGGAAUCAUUGGGCGUAAGGCGGGUGUAGGUGGCUUUGUAAGUCAGGUGUGAAAUCCCAGGGCUCAACCCUGGAAGUGCAUUUGAUACUGCGAAGCUUGAGUGCCGGAGAGGUUACUGGAAUACCUGGUGUAGUGGUGAAAUACGUAGAUAUCAGGUGGAACACCGGAGGCGAAGGCGGGUAACUGGCCGGACACUGACACUCAGACCCGAAAGCGUGGGGAUCAAACAGG